UACGGAGGGGGCUAGCGUUGUUCGGAAUUACUGGGCGUAAAGCGCACGUAGGCGGCUUUGCAAGACAGAUGUGAAAUCCCCGGGCUUAACCUGGGAACUGCAUUUGUGACUGCAUGGCUGGAGUGCGGCAGAGGGGGAUGGAAUUCCGCGUGUAGCAGUGAAAUGCGUAGAUAUGCGGAGGAACACCGAUGGCGAAGGCAAUCCCCUGGGCCUGCACUGACGCUCAUGCACGAAAGCGUGGGGAGCAAACAGG
RNAcentral lists this ribosomal RNA (253 nucleotides) under uncultured bacterium. RNAcentral's name for it is "partial 16S ribosomal RNA". It matches the Rfam family "Bacterial small subunit ribosomal RNA", at positions 524 to 776 of the family's 1533-position model. The record is from RNAcentral.